AGGAUGAACGCUGGCGGCGUGCCUAACACAUGCAAGUCGAACGUCCUGUCUCGCAAGAGGCAGGGAGUGGCGGACGGGUGAGUACCACGUGGGUCAUCUACCGUGAGGUGAGGAAUACCGGCGAGAAAUCGCCGACAAGACCGCAUAGGCUCGAUGCAAGUCGAGCAAAGCUCUUUCGAGAGAGGGAGCGCCACACGAGGAGCCUGCGCCCGAUUAGCUAGCUGGUGGAGUAACGGUUCACCAGGGCGACGAUCGGUAGCUGGUCUGAGAGGACGAAUCAGCCACACUGGGAUUGAGAACGGCCCAGACUCCUACGGGGGGCAGCAGUGAGGAAUUUUCGUCAAUGGGGGCAACCCUGAACGAGCAACGCCGCGUGCAGGAAGAAGGUUUUCGGAUCGUAAACUGCUUUUCUCGGGGACGAGCAAGGACGGUACCCGAGGAAGAAGCCCCGGCUAACUACGUGCCAGCAGCCGCGGU
RNAcentral lists this ribosomal RNA (477 nucleotides) under uncultured bacterium. RNAcentral's name for it is "SSU rRNA". It matches the Rfam family "Bacterial small subunit ribosomal RNA", at positions 26 to 521 of the family's 1533-position model. The record is from RNAcentral.